Molecule: ribosomal RNA, 253 nt
Filed under: uncultured bacterium
Lineage: Bacteria
Description: partial 16S ribosomal RNA
Rfam family: Bacterial small subunit ribosomal RNA
Source: RNAcentral
UACGUAGGGCGCAAGCGUUGUCCGGAAUUAUUGGGCGUAAAGAGCUCGUAGGCGGCUUGUCGCGUCGGCUGUGAAAACCCGCGGCUCAACUGUGGGCGGGCAGCUGAUACGGGCAGGCUGGAGUUCGGUAGGGGAGACUGGAAUUCCUGGUGUAGCGGUGAAAUGCGCAGAUAUCAGGAGGAACACCGGUGGCGAAGGCGGGUCUCUGGGCCGAUACUGACGCUGAGGAGCGAAAGCGUGGGGAGCGAACAGG